GGGCGGUUAGCUCAGCUGGGAGAGCGCCUGCCUUACAAGCAGGAGGUCACUGGUUCGAGCCCGGUACCGCCCAUCA
Molecule: transfer RNA, 76 nt
Filed under: Myxococcaceae bacterium
Lineage: Bacteria; Pseudomonadati; Myxococcota; Myxococcia; Myxococcales; Myxococcaceae
Description: tRNA-Val
Rfam family: tRNA
About the family: Transfer RNA (tRNA) molecules are approximately 80 nucleotides in length. Their secondary structure includes four short double-helical elements and three loops (D, anti-codon, and T loops).
Source: RNAcentral